Molecule: RNA transcript, 4772 nt
Organism: Megalops cyprinoides (Indo-Pacific tarpon)
Lineage: Eukaryota; Metazoa; Chordata; Actinopteri; Elopiformes; Megalopidae
Gene: ppfia2
Gene name: PTPRF interacting protein alpha 2
Exons: 30
Source: RefSeq, a predicted model, not a curated record
GUCAGUGUCCGUGCGUGCAGCGUCCAGUGCCCGAGGACCCGGUGCGGCGCGCUGAGUUUUCGCUCGGACGAUCGGUAGCGCGAGCUUUGCGGUCCCGUCGUAUUCAGCGCGUUUGUUUAAGCAGGGAGGGAACGGGUGUCUCCCGUCCUUUUCUUUUGUCGCCGUCGCCCGUCUGUUAAGCCACCGAUGUGGGCAGGCGCACGGUGCCAAAAGUGUCGUCUCAUCGUGUCGCGCUGGGCAGGUUCGAGUUUUCUGUAACCUCCUGCUAAACGUAAGGCAACGGAUUUGCAGCUGGUACAAGCCGGCGGUUUGCAUCUGUCUACUUUUGGAUUGCAUCGAAGGAGACAUGAUUUUCUCAGAUAUGAGUACGGGGACAAGCUCCCCGAAAGUGCAUCCGCCCAACGGGACAAGGUAUUACACAUUCCAGGAGUUUGCUGCCUUGACCAAGGAGCUCAACGCCUGCAGAGAGCAGCUGCUGGAGAAGGAGGAGGAGAUCUCCGAGCUGAAGGCCGAGAGGAACAACACACGACUGCUGCUGGAGCAUUUGGAGUGCCUUGUGUCCCGACACGAGCGGUCGCUGCGCAUGACCGUGGUCAAGCGGCAGGCCCAGUCGCCUUCCGGCGUUUCCAGUGAGGUCGAGGUCCUGAAAGCGCUCAAGUCCCUGUUCGAGCACCACAAAGCUUUGGACGAGAAGGUGAGGGAGAGGCUGCGGGUGUCGCUGGAGAGAGUCUCCGCCCUGGAGGAGGAGCUGGCAGCUGCAAACCAGGAGAUUGUAGCCUUACGGGAGCAGAAUGCACACAUCCAGAGGAAGGUGGCGUCGGGCGAGGCGGCCGAGGAGCUUCUGGAGGGCACGGAUGCCGGGCAGAAGGUCCAUGGCAAGCGUCUGUCCAACGGCUCCAUGGAGUCGGCGGACGAGGCCAGCCAGGUGGUGGAGCUGCAGGAGCUGCUGGAGAAGCAGAACUACGAGCUGGCCCAGAUGAAGGAGCGCAUGUCCUCGCUGUCCUCCCGCGUCUCCGAGGUGGAGCAGGAGCUGGACACCGCCCGCAAGGACCUGAUCAAGUCCGAGGAGAUGAACAGCAAGUACCAGAGGGACAUCAAGGAGGCCAUGUGUCAGAAGGAGGACAUGGAGGAGCGCAUCGUCACGCUAGAGAAGCGCUACCUCAGCGCCCAGCGGGAGUCCACCUCUCUGCACGACAUCAGCGACAAGCUGGAGAACGAGCUCGUCAACAAGGAGGCCUUCCUCAGACAGAUGGAGGAGAAGAACCGGCAGCUGCAGGAGAGGCUGGAGCUGGCCGAGCAGAAGCUCCAGCAGACCAUGAGGAAGGCAGAGACCCUGCCAGAGGUGGAGGCCGAGCUGGCCCAGAGGAUCGCCGCCCUCACCAAGGCUGAGGAACGUCAUGGGAGCAUCGAAGAACGCAUGCGGCAACUGGAGGGCCAGCUGGAGGAAAAGAAUCAGGAGCUGCACAGGGCCCGGCAGAGAGAGAAGAUGAACGAGGAGCACAACAAGCGUCUAUCGGACACCGUGGAUCGUCUCCUGACAGAAUCCAACGAACGACUGCAGCUCCAUCUCAAAGAGAGGAUGGCAGCACUGGAGGAGAAGAACGUUUUAAUUCAAGACUCUGAAACCUUUAGGAAACAGCUUGAAGACUCUAUCCAUGAAAAAUCUCACCUGGCUGAGGAGAUCGAGAAGCUGAGAUCAGAACUGGAUCAGUUCAGACUGAGGGCCGGGUCCCUCACAGAACCCACCUUGUCACGGUCUCACCUGGACACGUCCGCAGAUCUCCGCUACUCCCUGGGCUCGCUGGCCGAGACGCAGUCCGAGCACUACAGGUCAGCCAAGGUCAUCCGCCGGCCGAGGAGGGGCCGCAUGGGCCUGCGCAGGGAGGAGCCAAAGGCCAAGUCUCUGGGCGAACAAGAAUGGAGAUCGCAGCAGCUCGGCGUCCUGGGAAGCCACCACUUUGAGAGCGACACAGAGAUGUCGGACAUCGACGACGACGACCGCGAGACCAUCUUCAGCUCCAUGGACCUGCUGUCGCCCGGCGGGCACUCGGACGCCCAGACUCUGGCCAUGAUGCUACAGGAGCAGCUGGACGCCAUCAACAAGGAGAUCCGGCUGAUCCAGGAGGAGAAGGAGUCAACGGAGCUGAGGGCGGAGGAGAUUGAGAACCGCGUGGCCAGCGUGAGUCUGGAGGGGCUGAACCUGGCCCGUGCGCACCACCCAGGGACCUCCAUCACUGCCUCAGCCACCGCCUCCUCCCUGGCCAGCUCCUCCCCUCCCAGUGGACACUCCACCCCCAAGCUCACCCCCCGCAGCCCCGCCCGUGACAUGGAGCGCAUGGGCGUCAUGACGCUGCCCAGUGACUUGAGGAAACACAGAAGAAAGAUCGCAGCGGUGGACGAGGACGGCCGAGAGGACAAGGCCACCAUCAAGUGCGAGACGUCCCCACCCCCCACCCCCCGACAAGUGCGAAUGACCCACACCCUGCCGGCCUCCGCCCUCAACGACGCACGCUUGGCGGCAACUCUGGAGGUGGAUGCUGGGGCCCUGAGCAGCGUCACCAGCAGCCAGGACUCCCUCCACAAGCAGCCCAAGAAGAAGGGCAUCAAGUCCUCCAUCGGCCGCCUCUUCGGCAAGAAGGAGAAGGCCAGGCUGGGUCAGCUGGGGAAGGACCUGGGUGCGCCAGGCCAAGGUAUAUCCGAUCCAGAGCUGAUUGGUCAGGACAUGGCGCUGGGGAAGCUGGGUACUCAGGCAGAGAAGGACAGGAGGCUGAAGAAGAAGCACGAGCUGCUGGAGGAGGCCAGGAGGAAGGGCUUACCUUUCGCCCAAUGGGAUGGCCCCACGGUGGUGGCCUGGCUGGAGCUGUGGCUGGGGAUGCCCGCCUGGUACGUGGCGGCCUGCCGGGCCAACGUGAAGAGCGGCGCCAUCAUGUCGGCGCUGUCGGACACGGAGAUCCAGCGGGAGAUCGGCAUCAGCAACCCCCUGCACCGGCUCAAGCUGCGCCUCGCCAUCCAGGAGAUGGUGUCUCUCACCAGCCCCUCCGCCCCGCCCACCUCCAGAACUCCGUCAGGCAAUGUCUGGGUGACCCAUGAGGAAAUGGAGACCCUCGCGGCCCCCACCAAAACGAAGUCAGAGUCAGAGGAAGGAAGCUGGUCACAGACUCUUGCGUACGGUGACAUGAACCACGAGUGGAUCGGGAACGAGUGGCUGCCCAGCCUCGGGCUACCUCAGUACCGCAGCUACUUCAUGGAGUGCCUGGUGGACGCCCGCAUGCUGGACCACCUCACCAAGAAGGACCUGAGGGUGCACCUCAAGAUGGUGGACAGCUUUCACAGGACGAGUUUACAGUACGGGAUCAUGUGCUUGAAAAAGCUCAACUACGACAGGAAAGAGCUGGAGAGGAGAAGAGAACAGAGUCAGCAUGAAAUGAGAGACGUGCUGGUGUGGAGUAACGAGAGGGUGAUCCGCUGGGUUCAGAGCAUCGGGCUGCGGGACUACGCCAACAUCCUGCUGGAGAGCGGCGUGCACGGCGCCCUUAUCGCCCUCGACGACAACUUCGACUACAGCAGCCUGGCCCUCCUGCUCCAGAUCCCCAAUCAAAACACUCAGGCACGUCAGAUCCUGGAGAGGGAGUACAACAACCUGCUGGCCCUGGGCACGGAGAGACGGCUGGAGGAGUGUGACGACAAGGACUACCAGCGCGGGUCGUCCUGGCGAAGGCAGUUCCCUCCACGUGACGUCCACGGCAUCAGCAUGAUGCCCGGCUCGGCCGAGACGCUGCCCGCCGGCUUCCGCCUCACCACCACCUCCGGACACUCCCGCAGGAUGGCUCCCGAGGUCCUCUAUGAGGUGUUGGACGACAGUCUUGAAGACUUGUAUUUGGACUGGUGUCAAGGUCAGGUACACUGGAGCAGUGAUCUCCCUGUCUCUACUCUGGUUUCUGCAGCCCUCCCUCCCUUCCUCCCCCCCUCUCUCCUCCCUGUCCCCCCUCCUCUGUCUCUCUCUCUCUCUCCUGCGUGUGCCCACGUGGUCCUCCGGCCGCCAGGGGCCCCUCGAUCGAGGCUUUGCAGACGCGACAGGAAGUGUGUCAGUACACAGGGCGAUUAAAGAGUCGGUGUUCCUUGUCCAGGCCCAGCUAAACCUCUGUCCCCACUGUGGAUUGGACUGCGUUUCUGUGGUUUUAUCUGUAGUCCCUCCCUUUAUAAAUUAACUGGCCCCUCCCCCCUCUGAUGGUGCUGUCACCUUUUUUGCGCAUCAUCAGAGCGGGCCCUCUUUCUGUCUCUGAGUUUGUGACAUGGUGUGGCUUUGCUGGCUGGGUGACAUUUUGACUAACCCCGUGCUGUCAGUGGUAAGCGUGCCGUGUGUCCUGCCUCGCUCCGGCGGGCCGUCGUCCUGGCGACGGUGUGUACUGACGCUCUCCCUGUUCCCACAGUCGGCCCGUCGGCGGUGCAGAGGCUGGACAGCUCCACUGUGAGGACCUACUCCUGCUGAGGUCCUCCCAUUUCGGUGGCGUCCACGCUCUUAAACUUGACGUCUAGGUGACCGGCACGGGGGCACGGCGAUCUGUAUCAAAGCUCUGACGAGACGCACUGCCAAGAAACUCCCACCAGGGGGCGCCUGAGAGGCCAGCGUGCCAAAGCUGCCCCCUGUCUGCACUUACACAAGCCAAGACCACAGACCAGGGCACCAGCGACCGGUGCUAGCCAACUUCCUGCACACCUGUCCUACCGUUGCUGUUUCUACCUUUUUCAUGUAACAAAGUAGUUGAGCAUAC